This is a long non-coding RNA of Gadus morhua (Atlantic cod), 1623 nucleotides long. Lineage: Eukaryota; Metazoa; Chordata; Actinopteri; Gadiformes; Gadidae. The record is from Ensembl.
CCAGUCAGAGUUUUAACAACAAUGGACAACAACACAGAACACACCAACAGCUGAACCACUUGACGCCAUGUUUACCGUUUAAUGGGAAAGAAGGCUUGUCGCCUUUAUUAUGUCCAUGGUCGUCGCAUGGACUAUACGUCAUCCAGCUCAGGUUGCGUAGCCGUGCGUGUGCGUGUGUCGGCUCAUUAGCAUCUGUACCGUAGCGGCCUGUACCGUAGCAGCACACCUCUCCCAAGUGGCCAAAUUGGCCUGGCCUGGCCAGACUGGCCACACUCACACUGGCAGAUUUGAGCACGGUUAGGUGGCCGUUGGCCGUUGCAACUGUGGCCUGGCCACGGUAGGCUCUUGUACAUACGUCAUCACGUUGUAACACGUCAUCACCAAGCGUCCGCUGCAUGGACCAUAAUAAAGUCUGCCGCCAGUCAGAGUUUUAACAACAAUGGACAACAACACAGAACACACCAACAGCUGAACCACUUGACGCCAUGUUUACCGUUUAAAGGGAAAGAAGGCUUGUCGCCUUUAUUAUGUCCAUGGUCGUCGCAUGGACUACACGUCAUCCAGCUCAGGUUGCGUAGCCGUGCGUGUGCGUGUGUCGGCUCAUUAACAUCUGUACCGUAGCGGCCUGUACCGUAGCAGCACACCUCUCCCAAGUGGCCAAAUUGGCCUGGCCUGGCCAGACUGGCCACACUCACACUGGCAGAUUUGAGCACGGUUAGGUGUGAAAACGGCCAUAAACCCGUUUGUUAGUUAGCGGUUAAACAAAAUGCGAUCUCUUUGUUUACAGUUACCAACGACCAACGUUUAAAGACUGAUUCUUGGGUCGUCGAUUCCCUAGUGAUGCAAGGUUUUUUCUUUCAUUUCUUUCAUUUUGGACUGCACACACAUCGCGAGUGACGGAUACGCGCACAAUGUACACACAUCACUGUCUUUACAAUCUCUAGGCAACCGAAGUUUAAAGAUUGUCAAGUGGUUAACUCUUGAAUCACAUGUACUAAGACCUGAUGGGUUAGUGGUCAGAGAACAACUCAGUAACGCGGGGAUAAGGGGUUCGAUUCCUUAAUGAAGCUAGCUUUUUUCUUUCAUAUUUGACUGGAUGUUUCUAUGCCAUUUUGCAAGUGUAUCAACUUCCCUUAUGUGUUUACAUUGUAGGCUACAUACAAUGUAGCCUUAGGGUAAACACCAGGGUACAAAUAGCAUAUACUGAUAAUUGUACCAGCGUAACUUGUAGUUUAUGAUGAAGAAAUGUUACUGGGGUUAAGGUUAGGGUAACGGUAAGCGUAAGACAGUGUUUUUGCAACACAAUAUUUCUUACAAUAACACAAACUCCAAAGUUUUGAUGACUCCCGUAGGAAACUUAAGAUACCUAGAGAAAUGCGUGAGUGCUCACAAAACAUCAACAAGUCAGCAGUGUGGUACAGGGUGAUCAUUUCUGAUAUACAGUACAAAAGCUGAAACUAUUAGCCAGGAGUGGGAAAGAUGCAGACGCAGACGUGGGAAGCAAUAAGACACACCAACACACAGUUGCCUGUUGCAAAAUGGUUCAGAGUUUGAUAUAAAUAGUUAGGGUUAGCUAGGGAUUUUUUUUAAAAAAGUGUUUGCUUGGUAUGGUGUUAUCUGGUA